RNAcentral lists this long non-coding RNA (2064 nucleotides) under Homo sapiens (human). Its description in RNAcentral is "long independently transcribed non-coding RNA 1896, transcript variant 4 (LINC01896)". Lineage: Eukaryota; Metazoa; Chordata; Mammalia; Primates; Hominidae. The record is from RNAcentral.
GUCUCGCCCGGGCCGCUCGGGCGCCGCGCCUCCUGUUCCGGGCGCGCGGGGUCGGCCGGCCGCCUUCGCUGCUCCGCCGCGGCUCUCAGCGCCGCUCAGCGCGGCGGGCCCGCCCGGGCUCAGGUGCCCCCCGCUCUCCGGACCUUCUCGCCCGGCCCCGCGUCCCCUCCGCGGGCUUCCCCCGGCGGCCGGCCGGGCUCGGAGGCUCGCGGCCGGAGCGGAGCGGAGUGCGCACGCCGGGGUGGCAGGACUUCGGCAAGACCAACUUUCCGGUUCGGAAGCGGCGCGGGCCGCGCGGCUCCUCCCCUCCUCUCCCUCCCCUGCGUUCCCCCUCCCUUCCACUCCCCCCUCUCCCCGCCCCCCAACCCGCGGGCCCCACCGACUCCGGAGCGCCCGCCCCGCCCGCUGCUGCCACCGGGCCGCCUCGCCCCCGCGCCAGCCCGCCUGGGCCUCUGCGCCGCCGGCGGCUUCUUAAAUACAGGAAAGGGAGGGGACCGCAGGGCCCCGGUGUUCCCCACCCUAGUCCCCCUUCACCACGGGCCACCGGGCGCCAGCGGAGUGGGCAGCGAGCGCGACCGAAAGUUCCAACUCCACCAAACUCCCGCGCGCGGCCCACCCUUUCCCGGGAUUUCGGGGAUGACACGGGGGCCAGUGGUCCUGUCUGGUGUGAACCGUCAGCACAGAUGGCCUCCUGGAGCUUCCCCGAGUCGUUCGCUGGGGGAAGCGGGCGGUGAGCGGCCAGCCCGGGCGCUCCGCAGGCCGCGAGCUCCCGGCAGGGCUGGUGGCGGGGGUCCGCCUGGGGGAGGAAUCCCCGCCUGCUCCAUCGGACCCGGCCUGGCGCGGCUCGCGGCGCUCGGCGGGCUCCCUUCCAUUCUAGAAUCUUCCCGCUUGCUUCCCAGCCCGCGUUCUUCCGCCUGCCUUUAAUUGUAAUUUACAGGAUUAAGGAGUUUGGGGAAGUCGCAGAGCUGCAGCGGAAAGGCAGGGGUCUGAGACUACUUUUGAGAAGAGAAACAACGCAAAACGAUCGCUGGAGGGCCAGAGCCCUGGUCGAAGAAGCAGACACAGGUUCCCACGGCGUCUGACGCCUGCGGAGCAAGUCCAGAGCCAGCUGGACUCGCAGCCUCUGGCCCGGCGGCACCAACUCCUCACUGGGUCAUUUUGAGCGCGCUGUGCCCACCUUUUCUGUUGCGUGUGGACGUGGGGAGGAUCUUCUAAGUCCCUCCAACGAAGGCAAGUGUGAGACUCUGGCCCUUUAUUUGUAAGAAGCAAGCCUUCAGAUUGCAGAAGUGUCGCGCGGGUCGCCGUGCGUUGCGCGAGUGGGAAGAUGGAGGAGGCCGGCACGCUGCUUUCGUGGACGCAAGUGAACCGGGCGUGAAGGCAGGGUGCGAGCUCUGCCCUUGGCCCAGCCCUGCGUGGGCGCCGUCCCAGAUUCCGGGCGGUGCGGGGUGCAGAGAUCUGGAGAGACUUGCGGGCUCCCCAGCGCAGGCUGCUCUGGGAUUUCGUUGGAAGAUCCGGCAGAGCCUUGGAGGAGAGGGCCCGGGAGGCUGUGUGUGCAGCGGAAACUUGUACGAAUGCCCCCACAGCGGAAAUGGUGCGCACGAGUAAUUUCUGCGGUGCACCCUUUUAAAAAUUGACAAGUGAACAAGAUCAAUUUUUUAAGAAAGCAAAGGUAGAAAACAAAAGGCGUGCGACUUCUUGACUGGCUUGUUCCCGCCUUUCUUCCUUCUCUAUACUCAGAUCAGAAACUUUUCUUUAAUUGCUCUUAUUCAGUGCGACAACUUUUAAUAAAAGCAUUUGCAUUUUAAGCCUGAGUUGCAACCAUAGAUUUAUUGCGAAGUGACAACGUGUCUAUGGAAUAUUUUCGCAGAUGAGACAGGACAUGCGCUCUAGUCGUGCCCAGAUUAAAGCGACGCUGGGCCAUGUGCCUGUGUAGUGCAGACUCGGAGGGGCACACACAUACUCGUCACCACAUGACCACUGUCUAUUAAUAUUGUCAUACCUAAACACUCGCAAAAACAAAAGUUGCUUUUCUUCCCUGUAAUUAAAUCUAAUUUGUUAAUUGUC